RNAcentral lists this ribosomal RNA (253 nucleotides) under uncultured bacterium. RNAcentral's name for it is "partial 16S ribosomal RNA". It matches the Rfam family "Bacterial small subunit ribosomal RNA", at positions 524 to 776 of the family's 1533-position model. The record is from RNAcentral.
GACGUAGGGAGCGAGCGUUGUCCGGAUUCAUUGGGCGUAAAGCGCGCGUAGGCGGUUUGGUAAGUCGGAUGUGAAAACACGAGGCUCAACCUCGUGCCUGCAUCCGAUACUGCCCGACUAGAGGUAGGUAGGGGAGAUCGGAAUUCCUGGUGUAGCGGUGAAAUGCGCAGAUAUCAGGAGGAACACCGGUGGCGAAGGCGGAUCUCUGGGCCUUACCUGACGCUGAGGCGCGAAAGCUAGGGGAGCGAACAGG